Molecule: ribosomal RNA, 700 nt
Filed under: uncultured bacterium
Lineage: Bacteria
Description: bacterial SSU rRNA
Rfam family: Bacterial small subunit ribosomal RNA
Source: RNAcentral
CUUAGUGGCGGACGGGUGAGUAACACGUGAGCAACCUGCCCCUCAGAGAGGGAUAACGUUUGGAAACGAACGCUAAUACCUCAUAACAUCGGGAUGCGGCAUCGCAACCUGAUCAAAGAUUUUAUCGCUGAGGGAUGGGCUCGCGUCCGAUUAGGUAGUUGGUGAGAUAACAGCCCACCAAGCCGACGAUCGGUAGCCGGACUGAGAGGUUGAACGGCCACAUUGGGACUGAGACACGGCCCAGACUCCUACGGGAGGCAGCAGUGGGGGAUAUUGCACAAUGGGGGAAACCCUGAUGCAGCGACGCCGCGUGAGGGAAGACGGUUUUCGGAUUGUAAACCUCUGUCUUCGGGGACGAACAAAUGACGGUACCCGAGGAGGAAGCCACGGCUAACUACGUGCCAGCAGCCGCGGUAAUACGUAGGUGGCAAGCGUUGUCCGGAAUUACUGGGUGUAAAGGGAGCGUAGGCGGGGAUGCAAGUUGAAUGUUUAAACUAUCGGCUCAACCGGUAGUCGCGUUCAAAACUGCAUCUCUUGAGUGGAGUAGAGGCAGGCGGAAUUCCUAGUGUAGCGGUGAAAUGCGUAGAUAUUAGGAGGAACACCAGUGGCGAAGGCGGCCUGCUGGGCUCUAACUGACGCUGAGGCUCGAAAGCGUGGGUAGCAAACAGGAUUAGAUACCCUGGUAGUCCACGCCGUAAAC